GAAGAUUGUUUUGGCCGUUACGUGAGUUGUGCUUCGGCUUCGUGCGCGGAUUAAUCUGAUUUUUUGAAUCGCGCGUGCGGUGCCGCUGUCAUUACAGUGACGGUAUCGCUUUUUUCAGCGCGAAUUUCAAUAACGACAUAUAUUGAAGAAAUAUGUCUGAUGAGAAGCAGGAAAUGCAUGAAUAAAGCAACAGCCAGGAAAAACAUGGAGAUGCCGCAGCCGAUAGAAGUGAUAAAAGUCAAUGUUUCCAGAUCCGGCACUGUGCUGUUUACAUCUGGCGGAGACUGAAGGAUCAAAGAAAACAGGACGAAACAGGCCCUACAUUCAUCACAUCCUGUUCUGAAGAGCAGCAAAAGUCUUCAGUGUCUGUGUUCUCGGCUUGUCUUUGGAUAACACCAGUAACAUCCCCCGUGACAAUCGAAGCACUGUGUUUACUGUC
Long non-coding RNA from Cyprinus carpio (common carp), 439 nucleotides. RefSeq lists it as uncharacterized. Lineage: Eukaryota; Metazoa; Chordata; Actinopteri; Cypriniformes; Cyprinidae. The record is from RefSeq and is a predicted model, not a curated record. The transcript is spliced from 3 exons.